RNAcentral lists this ribosomal RNA (139 nucleotides) under uncultured eukaryote. RNAcentral describes it as "partial 18S ribosomal RNA". It matches the Rfam family "Eukaryotic small subunit ribosomal RNA", at positions 1299 to 1458 of the family's 1831-position model. The record is from RNAcentral.
UGGUGGAGUGAUUUGUCUGGUUUAUUCCGUUAACGAACGAGACCUCAGCCUGCUAAAUAGUGGCAUCUAACUUCGGUUAGGUGUUCUACUUCUUAGAGGGACUUUCGGCGUUAGCCGAAGGAAGUUUGAGGCAAUAACA